This is a long non-coding RNA of Pantherophis guttatus, 1585 nucleotides long. RefSeq lists it as uncharacterized. NCBI's taxonomy places the organism in Eukaryota, Metazoa, Chordata, Lepidosauria, Squamata, Colubridae. The record is from RefSeq and is a predicted model, not a curated record.
GUUAGCUGGUUCCUACAUAGCUGCCAAUAAUUCUCCCUUAAUUACUCAGAAUAAAGAUAGGGGCUCUUUGACGUGCCGCAUUAAAGCUUUUGAUAGGGAAGAAAGGAUUGGGGUGGGAUGAAGUGUGACAGCUGCUAUUGGAAAGGGCAUCUAUGCCACCAAUGUUCAUGGGCAACCCCUAUAAUAGCGAGAAGAAUUUAUCAUGCAAUGUGGCAUCGUUCCUGCUGUACAGUUUCCCGCCCCCGUUCUGUGUUACUAUGUCUACUUGCAGCUUGUAAUAUCUGUUUGAGAUUAUAUAUGGUACGAUAUAUUGAGGCAAGCUCGUCCAUCAAGACAGCAGAAGACAACCGACGUUCUCGUCAAUCAAGAGAGCAAGACAACAAAAAGCAGAAGCAGUUUUUUUGACUGGCUCCAAGGGUCUUCUCUUGGGGAAAGUAUAUCCAAGGAGAUAGGAUGGAGGCUAGGGUAGACUGCGCCAGGGAGGAGGAGAUUGAGCCCAGGGUUCUUAACAGGGUAGUUGCCAUGAGAUUCCAGGAUUUUUGCACCUCUGUUUAACGUCUCCAUGAAACCUCUGCAAGAGACGGAAUGGAAUUGCCAUGGAAUCAGAUUUUGGUGAAACACCCCCCCCCAGUUAUACAUCUCAACCCCAAUUUGAUUAAGUGUUGCUGAAAUAUUUGUUUCUUUGUUUAUUGCAUGCUUGCUGAGAUGCUUCCGGGUUUAAAGCCGGUGACAUCACCAUUGCCCUUGGGAUGCCGAGUUGACGCAUCAGUCAAAAGAGACAGGCGGCAAUCACUUCUGUACCUUUCAACUGCCUGGUUUGUCAACAAUUUUUGCAAUGAACAAAUGGGCCUCUUUCCAAGGUCUGACUUUCGAAAUAAUUACCAGGUGAACAGUUUUGACUUUUCUAAGCUGAAAGUCCUAUUGCAGAUCUGAGUGGCACAUUGAAGAAGACAUUCUUUCAAAUAUAGCAGACAAGCAUAGAAGAUAAAACAAAGUUUCAAUCAUUUCAGUUUAAAUGGUUUCUCUCCGGCCAUGUACAGAAUAAUUCACUCUCCUCCCCCCACUUUUUUUUUUAUUCAGAUGAAACAUGUAGCGAAUCUCUGGAGUGGUACCCAAAACUUUGGCAUGCAGUGUGUGUGUGUGUGUGUGUGUGUGUGUGUGUGUGUGUGUCUGAAGCCAUAAAGAGCCGAGGUGGCGCAGUGGUUAGAGUGCAGUACUGCAGCUAUUUCAGCUGACUGCCAGUUCAGCAGAUCAGCAGAUCAAAUCUCACCGGCUCAAGGUUGACUCAGCCUUCCAUCCUUCCGAGGUGGGUAAAAUGAGGACCCAGAUUGUUGGGGGCAAUAUGCUAAUGCUAAUGUUAAUGCAAUAUGCUAUUAUGCAAUGUGCUAUAUGCUAACUUUGUAAACCGCUUAGAGAGGGCUGUAAAGCACUAUGAAGCGGUAUAGAAGUCUAACUAACUAAUAAAUAAAUAUGUAAUUGUAUACCUCUGCAAUAUGCCAGAAAAGCAAACUCAUCCAUUAUCUUCUCUACAGCUGAUGUUCUAUAAAAAAGAUAUACCAGGAUCUGUCUUCUAAAGAACCAGGAA